This is a non-coding RNA of Rattus norvegicus (Norway rat), 925 nucleotides long. NCBI's taxonomy places the organism in Eukaryota, Metazoa, Chordata, Mammalia, Rodentia, Muridae. The record is from RefSeq and is a predicted model, not a curated record.
GCCAUUGACAACUGGAUGGCAAAGAGGGCCAUGUGGCUGAAGAUAUUGCUUACUUAUGUCAUAGAACAUGGAGAAAUGGAGAUGGUUUGCAACUGGAGAUGCUUUACCCCAACCUACUAAUGUUCCUGGGUCUGCCUCAUGUUUGUUAUACUAUUUGAGGAGAAAAGUAAUCAUUACUGUUACCCAGCCAUAAACCCUGUGACCUACAACAGUGACCUGCCUGCCAGAGAUAUGGUACAACAGUGAGGGAAAUGUUAUGGGAGGAAACAGGCAAUCUUUGAGUGGAUUGAAAGCCCACUCCCCAAGAUUUAACCCAUACUAGACACUGCUAAAAUGCCAAGGACCUGAGAGUAGAGUAUAAAAAAAAGAAGAAAAACCAAACCAUGUUUCCUCAUUCCCGUUUCUAUCAUCGUUCAACAAGUAUCCGUGUGAACUGGAGGACUCAGAUCUGCACACUUUUGGAAGAGUGAAGAGGCAUGCUGUCCGCUCAUAAUUCUCUAGAGAAAUUAAAGACCUGUCCCGACAAAGCAAGCACUAGCAUAGUCCACAAAUCCCGUUCGUAGGGAUUCUUACUGUGAAGAAGCUGGUCUCUUGGGUUACAGGUCUGUCCGAGAUUCUUUCUCCUCGACAUGUACAGAGCCCAUGACAGAAAUAUAAGGAGACCUAGAUACCAUGCGUGUAAUUAUUCCCAAGGGAUGAAUCGAAUAGUAACUCAUCGAAUGAGAUACGCAGUUGUUACUUCCCACUUGAAAAACAGUGCUUCAUGAUGACAAAAUGGAAAAACUGUUUAAAGCCAGGAUUUCAGAUGACUUAAAGUUGACAAAACAUAUCAAACAUAAUGCAAUCAUUUUCACAAAUGGCUAGAUGUUCAGUUGAUGAGUCAAAGAUUUAUGGGUCAAUAAUAAAGACAUCCAUAAUUUAUAAA